GUCCACUUAAACAACUACACUUCUGUCAUAAUUGAACUGAGACGACAGUCCAUUGUGAAGGAACUCCAGAAGUUGAGAAAUCCAUUCUCUGAGGAAGACGAAGACACUGUAUCCAGGAACUUGCUGCUUACACUCCUCACAACUGAAGGGAUUCAUUUCACUGAAGUGUCAAAAUGGUUCAGCUACGGUUCCCUAGGAACAGUACUAUCCAGAGAACUUUACAAGGAAUUGUUUGUUGAAAGAUGCUUAGAGAAAAAGACUGACAUCUGCUCAUCCACGAUUCCAUACAUUCAAAAUUUAGAUACAAACUUUGGAUCAGUUCAGGUAA
Non-coding RNA from Parasteatoda tepidariorum (common house spider), 328 nucleotides. The record is from RefSeq and is a predicted model, not a curated record. NCBI's taxonomy places the organism in Eukaryota, Metazoa, Arthropoda, Arachnida, Araneae, Theridiidae.